RNAcentral lists this long non-coding RNA (940 nucleotides) under Zostera marina. RNAcentral's name for it is "long non-coding RNA (ZMAR_LNC003592)". The record is from RNAcentral. Lineage: Eukaryota; Viridiplantae; Streptophyta; Magnoliopsida; Alismatales; Zosteraceae.
AAAAGCAGAAGUAGGAAAUAUCCUAAUAGAGUUUGUAAAAAUAGUAAAAAGCCAAUUCCAAACUCAAAUCAAACAAAUAAGGUCAGAUGAUGGAUUCACUACAAAAAAAAGUAGGCAGUUAGAACGAGCAAAGUUAACGGAAUUUCCGUUAAUAACGGAAAUUCCGUUAACUUUGGUCCGAGACAAAAUUUUCGUUACAAAUACCAAAAUCUGUUACAAAAAUCCGUUACAAAUACUCUGAAGUUAAAGUUAACGGAACGAAAAAUCCAUUACAAAAUUUUUAGGUAUUUGUAACGAAAUUUCCGUUACAAAUUCCGUUACAAAUGAGGAAAAAAAAAUUUGUAACGGAAUUUCCGUUAUAAUUUUUUUUUUUGCAAAAAAAAAUUCCAGAAUUCCAGUAUUCCUGUAAAAUCAUUGCAAAUUCCUGUAAAUUCAUGCAAUUAAUAUUAAUUCCUGUAAAUUCAUUCAAUAUUCAACAAAUAUUCAAUACAAAAACAACAUUCAACAAAAUUAACAUUCAAGAAAACUAACAUUCGACAAAAAUAACAUGGAAGACCUAUUUCGAUGGAGGAGUUUGAUAUCUUUGAUCGCUCUGACCUGCAUUAAUACUUCUAUCUUGCAACGAUCCACGAUCUGAAGGUUGUAGAGUUGUAUUUGAUUGGGAUAAAACUGUUUUCUUCAGGUCUUCAAACAUAUCAAACAUUUCAUCAUAUUUCCUUUUUAAAAUUUGAUUAUCCUGUAAAACAUUUAAGAUUCAUUUAUAUUUAUGUAUUACUUUAAAAUUUUAUUGACUUUCAUACACAUAUCUCUAUUAACUUCUCCAUUUGAUCGUUCAUUUUUUCUUUUCCUUUUUCUUUUUCUUUUUCUUUUUCUUUUUCUUUCUCGAUAGAUCUUGCAUUCAUUUCAAUUGAAAAUCUGGUAGAAGCAGUGCUCGACUCAG